Molecule: long non-coding RNA, 2487 nt
Organism: Bos taurus (domestic cattle)
Lineage: Eukaryota; Metazoa; Chordata; Mammalia; Artiodactyla; Bovidae
Source: Ensembl
CAUUUGUCAGAGAGAGAAUACUCCUCCAUGGACGUUACAUGUUUAUAGAACCUGAAAAAAACAGCAGGCAGGUCUUAAGAGAUGGAAUACACAAAGAAAUGACUCUUGAGAAUCCCUUGGACUGCAAAGAGAUCCAACCAGUCAAUCCCAAAGUCAGUCCUGAAUAUGCAUUGGAAGGACUGAUGCUGAAGCUGAAACUCCAAUCCUUUGGCCACCUGAUGUGAAGAACUGACUCAUUGGCAGAGACUCCGAUGCUGAAAGAGUGAAGGCCGGAGUAGAAGGGGACGACAGAGGAUGAGAUGGCUGGAUGGCAUCACCGACUCGAUGGACAUGAAUUUGAGUAAGCUCUGGGAGUUGGUGAUGGACAGGGAGGCCUGGCAUGCUGCUGUCCAUGGGGUCGCAAAGAGUUGGACACGACUGAGCAACUGAACUGAAGAUUCCUAUUAUUCAUAUGAGAUGGCAAGAGUGAGCACUGACAUUUUAAGAAACAGUGAACAAAAAUGGAUGGGAAGGGGCAAUUUAAUUUAGAUGACCAUUCUAUCUACUAUGUGGGCAAGAAUCCCUUAGAAGAAAUGGAAUAGCCCUCAUAGUCAACAAAAGAGUCUGAAAUGCAGUACUUGAGUGAAGUCUCAAAAAUGACAGAAUGAUCUUGACCCAUUUCCAAGGCAAACCAUUCAACAUCAUGGUAAUCCAAGUCUGUGCCCCAACCACUGAUGCCAAAGAAGCUGAAGUUGAACAGCUCUUUGAAGACCUACAAGACCUUCUAGAACUAACACUUUAAAAAAAAUGUCCUUUUCAUUGUAGGGGAUUGGAAUGCAGAUGUAGGAAGUCAAGAGAUACUUGGAGUAACAGGCAAGUUGGCCUUGGAAUACAAAAUGAAGCAGGACAACGGCCAAUAGAGUUUUGUCAAGAAAACACACUGGUCAUAGCAAAGACCCUUUUCCAACCACACAAGAGACGACUCUACACAUGAACAUCACCAGAUGGUCAAUACAGAAAUUGAUUAUAUUCUUUGAUUGAUUAUAUUCUUUGAUUUUUUUUUUGAUUAUAUUGAUUAUAUUCUUUGCUGCCAAAGAUGGAGAAGCUCUAUACAGUCAGCAAAAACAAGACUGGGAGCUGACUGUGGCUCACAUCAUGAACUCCUUAUUGCCAAAUUCAGACUUAAAUUGAAGAAAGGGAAAACCACUAGAUCGUUCAGGUAUGACCUAAAUCAAAUUCCUUAUGAAUAUACAGUGGAAGUGACAAAUAGAUUCAAGGGAUUAGAUCUGAUAGAGUGCCUGAAGAACUAUGGACGGAGGUUCAUGACACUGUAUAGGAGGCAGUGACCAAAACCAUUGCAAAGAAAAAGAAAUACAAGAAGGCAAAGUAGUCAUCUGAGUAGGCCUUACAAAUGGCUGAGAAAAGAAGAGAAACAAAAGGCAAAAGAGAAAAGGAAAGACGUAUCCAACUGAAUGCAGAGUUCCAGAAUAGCAAGGAUAGAUAAGAAAACCUUAAGUAAACGAUUUCAAAGAAACAGAGGAAAACAAUUGAAUGGGAAAGACUAGAGAUCUCUUCAAGAAAAUUGGAGAUACCAAGGAAACAUUUCAUGCAAAGAUGGGCACAAUAAAGGACAGAAACUGCAGGGACUUAACAGAGGCAAAAGAGAUUAAGAAAUGGCAAGAAAUCACAACUAUUCAAAAAAGGUCUUUAGGACUUGGAUAACAAUGAUGGUGUGAUCACUCAUCUAGAGCCAGACAUCCUGGAGUGUGAAGUCAAGUGGGCCUUAGGAAGCAUUACUGUGAACAAAGCUAGUGGAGGUGAUGAAAUUCCAGAUGAGCUAUUUUCAAAUCUUAAAAAGAUGAUGCUGUUAAAGUGCUGCACUCAAUAUGCCAGCAAUUUUGGAAAACUCAGUACUGGCCACAAGACUGGAAAAAGUCAGUUUUCUUUCUCAUCUCAAAGUAGUGUAAUGCCAAAGAAUGUUCAAACUGCCAUAUAAUUACAUUCAUUUCAUAUGUUAGCAAGAUAAUACUCAAAAUCCUUCAAGGUAGGCUUCAGCAGUACAUGAACCAAGCUGCUGGAUUUAGAAAAGGCAGAGGAACCAGAGACCAAAUUGCUGCCAGCCACUGGAUCAUAGAAAAAGCAAGGGAAUUCCAGAAAAAUAUCUACUUCUGUUUCAUUGACUAAGCUAAAGCCUUUGACUAUUUGGAUCACAACAAACUGUGGAAAAUUCUUAAGGAGAUGGGAAUCUACCAGACCUCCUUACCUGUAUCCUGAGAAACCCGUAUACAAGUCAAGAAGCAAUAGUUAGAACCAGACAUGGAAAAUGGACUAGUUCAAAAUUGGGAAAGGAGUACAUCAAGGCUGUAUAUUGUAUAUAGGCAGUGUUUUCGUCUUAAACAUAUUGCCUUCCAAUCCCUGAAUGUGGAUGUUUUUAUAUUUAUGUCCAUAUUUUUCAUUUCUUUCAAUGACAAUUUAUAGUUUUAAGUGUAUGUCUGUGUUUCCUUGGUC